CCGCCGCCACCACAGGCCGGCUCGAUCUCCGGCGUGGGUACCAACGGAACCACCUCAGCCUCGCCGUCCUUCCCCGACCCGUCGCCGCCCUUGGGCCGCCCAGAACUGGCCGGAAAAUCGUGAUUUCCGACCGGUUGUCACCCGAACUUCAAGCUCCUCGUUCUCCCUCAAUUCUCAACCAAAUCUUUCGAGUAAGGUAUGGAUUCUCAUCUAUUUUUCGUGCUCUAGCUGAUGGUUGGAUAGGUUUUUAUCAAUUUUAGCCGUAGAUUGCCCAGUUUGUAAAUUGAAGUUUCAGCCGAUUUUCGGCCUCUGUUUUCGGCCACUUCCAGUCACUUUUUGGGGUAGGUCCAAGAACAAAAGUGACUCCAAAUGGGGUGUUUUACCUAGGAUAGGAGUUUGGAGUCCUGGUUCCGAGAUUUUUCGACCACCCGAAAUCGCUUAAGACACCCAAAUCUGCCCGCGCGUGAUGGGGCGCAUGGGAGAGGGUGGUGAAGUAAUUCUGUACAGUUUUGUGACCCUGGUGUCGUCACGAGCACGUAGGAUUUCGCGGAUCUCAAUUCGGAGUCCGUUUGAGCCCCGAACGGAUUUUUCAUAUCGCGCGAUCUUUGGGUGCAGUGUCGCCAAAUCGGUGGAUCACACUGAAUUUUAGAUAUGUCGGUCUACAUGAUUUCAGGAUUGUGUAGGAUUCGACGGAUUGCGAAUCGGAGUCCCGGAUACUCCGAAAUCGCGAACCCUAGGGCUAGGGUUUAGAAAUUAUGCGAUUACACGAUCGUAAUUAAUCCGACCGUCCGAUUGACACCAAUACCCUCGGGACAUGUGUCCUAAUUAUAUUGGACCUUUUAGCGGCAUCCGGAUCAUGUUAUACCCGUGGGGUUCCGGAUUGACUUUUUGGACUUUAGCGCUUUUUGAGUCCCAAGAUACCGCUAAACGAUCCCACGUGGAAGGAAAGCUGUUGUGGGCAUAGGGAUCACUUUAAAUUGACGCACGUACUUUUAGGAGCCGGGGGUAGGGUUUUUGUUUUUAUUUAAUACUAUAUUGUAUUAAUAGAAUAUUAUGGUCAUUGAAUCAGGCACCCGGGCACCAGUUGACCCGCAGGAGGGACCUUCAAGAGGUCCAGCGAGCUCAGACUAUCAGUGAGUGGACUCUUUGUUUUUAUAAAUGAAUUUAAUCAGUUCAGUUUCAGUUAUAAGCUGUUUUAUGCUGUUAAAUAUUUUAUGUUACAUGCUGCCGAGUGAAGUUUCCUUUUAAGAAUAUAGGAAAAGAUAUUCUCGUUAAUUAUCAGAUAAAUGGCAGCAGAAUUUUAAAGGUUACAGAAAGUUAAUUAUUCAUAAGAUUUUCUUCAGAAACUUUAUAUUUUCUUAAACCACCUUGUACCCAGUUAUUACAUGUUGCCUUCGGAUUAUAUUUGUUGCCUUCGGUUUAGUCAGCAUGCUUGACAGUUGCCCCACGAGUUCCUUGGUACUCGACCUCGUGUGGAGCGAGUAAUGCGGAUAAAGACGGACUACGGUUCCCUGAAUCCUGCGAGUUGCGGCUCAGACUGACCUCGUGUCACUGAGACCUGCGAGUAUGUGUCACCCAUGGUGAUGCAAGGAAUUGACGAAAAUAAGGGUACACCUAGGUGAUAGUUUUCAAUUGUUUUCAAAUGUAUAGUUAUAUACAUUCAUUGAUUUCAGAAAUAAAGAAAAUAAGCUAGUUUGUAUAACUGUUUUUACAGUGGGGUUAGUAUGUUCAUAUAGUAUUUUCUAAACUUUGUUUGGGUCCACUCACCCUUCUUGUUGUUUUGCGCCCCCAGGCAGUAGACGUGCACAGGAAUCCACCACCGGGCCACUUCCCAUCUUCCGCGCCUUUCUUUGAUGUAGGAUUUGUAUUUUGUACAAAGAUUCACUCUUUUGUAAAUUUUUAGUAGUCGCUCUGAUGUUUUGCCCUAGACUGAGAUUUGAACUGUUGGAAUAUAUAUAUGUAUGCUGGCAGUUGGUUGUACAUAUAUACUUGUUUUGACAGGUGUAAGAUUUUGGUAUUGAGCCAGAUACAAGGGAAACUCUGCCGGUUUUUCGGUAGAAGUCAACCUUGAUAUUUUUUAGCAUGUUUGUAUAGAAGGGCAAAUAGAUCAUUUGUGCCCGACAUUCGCCAGGUGUCGGACACGCACAAGGUCUGGCUCGGAUUCCAAAGUGGAAUUUGGAUCGGGUCCUGUCAAGAGUGUUCUACAACUAUUGACAACUUGGACAUACGAAAUAUUUGUGCACCAAAUUGGAUUAGGAGAUUUGUUUCUUGAGUGGGGUAUGUGAGCUCUUUGGCAAGAGGAAGAGAACAUAAGAGAAUAAUGAUGAGAGUAUCUGCGAGAGUGCUAUCGUAAGUGUAACUGGGAGAUGAUGAUUGUGUUUUACUAAAAUUGAUGAACAGGCAGAGGAGACCAAUCUUGAGGGGUCAAUCCAUCGACCCUCAUAAUGAGGUUCAUAAAGAAAGGCGCUUCGCAGCCCACUCCCGAAGAACCUAUUCCCAUCGACAAGCACUACUAAAAAAAGUGAAAAAGACGACCAGAAAACAACGACGGUCUAAGUGAAAACCGUCGUGGUUUUUAAAAAGACGACGGUUCUAAAAACACCGUCGUGUAAUACAACCUUAGACAACUAAAAAAUGGAGAUUCAAAUGGCUGUUCAAAAACAACGACGUACCUAAUUAAACAACCGACGUCUAUUUGAAACAGAUUUCCGCAGUGUAAAAUCAAUGCCAACAAAGAACGGCAGAAGUUAUGAAUCGACCGACGUAGAAAGUAAAGACGACGAUUUCAAUAAAAACCGCCGUUUUUACUCAUAAAAUAACACGACGAGGUUUUCGUAUAAGACGCCAUAUAAUUACAAAUAAAUCCACGGCUUUAAAAUACAAAAUAUCGCCGUCUUAAAUUAAUGUACAACGACGGAAAAUAUAAAUAUAUCGACGUCAUUCUCGUAUAGUUCUACGACGUUAUCUUUAAAUCGUACAAUAAAAUUUAACGUCGUAUUUAUUCAUUUUAUACGUCGUACCUUUAAUUUAAACCGUUGUCUUAAUAAGAAUUUUUGUUAACAAUUUUUUUCUUUGAUUUUCUUAUCCUACGUCGGUAGAUCUACUUAAUGACAAGAAUUGAAAUAACCACGACGGUUUAUAUAGAAAACCGCCGAUAUAAUCAGAUUUGUCUGAGAUCCUAAGGGUUACGAAAUCUUACCAGAUGGAACUCUGUUCCACAUCAUAAUCUUAACAGAAGACACAGAUUUGCAAUCAGAGAGACAAUUUUUUGGAAGUUGAUGAUGUGUGUGUAUCUACAAAUAUUAUACCUAACGUCGUUGCAAAUUUGCAAUCAGAGAGACAAUUUUCAACGACGGUUAUAUUAUACCUAACGACGUUUAAAAAACAAAUCAACGCCGCUCAACAAAUAUAUUACGUCGUCUUAGUCUUACUUAAGACAACGAAACAUGACGACAGUAAUACAAAAAUAGUCGUUGUUUUUAUAUUCUUAUUUUAUUUAAAUCUGUCAUCCAAAAAAGAAACUUUACAUAUUCCCGAACAUUAAUUUCCUUCAUUUUAAAUUUCCUCCGGAAAAAAAAACUCUAUUUAUAACGCACUGUAAUUGAAAAAUAAACUGAAAGGUCACGGGAAAAAAAAUUCUAUUCAUAAUUUAAAAAUUCAAAUCCACGUCGGUUAUAUUAAACCUAACGACGUUAAAUGAAAAGAUUCCACGUCGCAAAACAAAUAUUGCGUCGUGUUAGUUAAAAACGACGGCAUAACAAAAAACCGUCGUUGUUUCAAACUGAAUUAAUUUAAAAUUUAUUCGGGAAAGCAAAAUCUAUUUAUAAUUUCCUCGGGUUAGUAAUAUUGCGUCGUGUUAGUUUACAAAUUCUAGAACAUUAAUUUCCCUCAUUUUAAAUUUCCUCAGGAAAGAAAAAUCUAUUUAUCACGCUUUGUAAUUGAAAACUAAAACUGAAAGAAUUCGGGAAAAAAAACUCUAUUUAUAAUUUAAAAAUAAAAUCCACGUCGGUUGUAGUACACUUAACGACGUUUAACAAAAUAAUCUACGUCGGUAAUUAUAAAUCUACCGCCAUCUUACCUUAAUAUAGACGACGAGAAAAGACGACGGUAGAACAGAAAACCGCCGUUGUUUCAGUUUCUUUAACAGUUUGGUCCUUUAUCUUUCUGCAGGACUUGUAUAGUUCAAAGCAUUGACAAUGUCUUCAUCAUAUCUCCCAGCAAAUACUGAUUCGAUUGCUCAUGCUUUAGAGGCCAUCUGAAGCCAUUUCUAUUCUUUAUCGCAUUCUUGAACCCAUCUUCUUCUUCUGAAGCUCUACGGAUAAAGGAAGAGGCUAUCACAAAUCUGACGGAUCUUCUUAGCCAAGAAAAUCAAGCAGAUUUCCCUGAGAAGCGAACUUUCCUUCGACAGCGAGUGGAGGCCAGGCUUGCAUCUCUUUUGAUGGAAAGCAAGGAGUAUUCAGAAGCACUAAGUGUCCUAUCAGGCUUGAUCAAGGAAGUGAGAAGGCUAGUUGACAAGCUUCUUCUUGUGGACAUAUAUUUGAUGCGAGUAAGCUCAAUUUAUCUUUGAGAAAGACAUCCAAAUUAUUGUCUUUGAGACGUGAGAGACUGAGAGAGGAAGAACUUGGAACCCUAAAUGUAAACCGUAAAUGAAUGAAAGCGACAAAUUUAUAGAAUAAAUUUUUAAAACCAACGGCGGUCCUUACAAAAAUACCGCCGUUUAAAUUGUAAAAUUCACGUCGGUACAUUAAUAAAAACGACGUGUUAAAUAAUCUACCAUGACGCGAGUUAUUACUUAUGUACUUUAAUUUUUGAGUUUACUACGACGGUACCUACAACACUACUGUCGUAUUUAUUUACCACGUCCGAAGUUAAAUGUACCGUCGUAUUUUGUAAUUCAUACGUCGUAGUUAUAUGUAACCGCCGUAUUAUUUUUUUGAAAUGGUUUUAUAUGUAAGCAACUUUUCGUCUACCUGACAUACACAUGCGCUGUUUCCAAACCCGAUUAAAAAUUUCAAUCUUCCAGAGAAAACUUUUAGACUUUUUUCCUUGUCAGAGCACUGUCAGAGUAUCUCAUCGUCUUCCUCUCGUCUUCUUCGUCGUCUCUGAACUUAAACAUAAUCUUCCUCUUGCUUUCAUUGCACGCAAAAGUUAAGCUUUCAUUUUCACUAUUUUGGUUGCUGUUUUGCAUGCUCAUACGUUUUUUGUUUGAAAAAUCUUUUUACCUUUUUUCUGGCCAAAAUCAUUUUACUUCUUUCCAAGUUCGAUAAAAUAUACAGACAAAGAGGGAAAGUUUCCAACUUUGAAGACAACUACCUCAACUAAAUAAGACGACGGUAGCUUCUUAUUUACGUGGUUAAAUAUGUAGACCACGACGGUUCGUCAGUCGUUCUAGCGUCGUCUGAAAAUUGACAAAGUUGUUUUUAAAAUUAUAGUCUUUUUUUUAUUUGCUUGUUUAAUUGCAGGUUUGAUUUCUCUGAACAAUGGUUUUUAUUUUUCCCUAAUUUGAUAAAAUAUAAAGAAAAAGAAAGUAGGGUUGGUAUCUAAUAUAGACGACAGUAUCUUAUUGUUUUACGUCGUGUGAAUGUUAAUACCACGACGUCAUAUUAAAAUACCGUCGUCUAUAUAAGAUUCCAAAACUUUCUUUCUUGGCCUUAUAUUUUAUCAAAUUAGAAAACAAAAACCAUGGUUCAGAAAUUUCAAAUCUGCAAUCAAACAUUCACAGAGAAAGAAAGAAGGGUUUCGGAUCCUUAUAUAGACGACGGUAUAUUACUACUGACGUCGUGUGAACAUCAAUACCACGACAUUAUAUAAAUAUUUCGUCGUUUAUAGUUAAUUAUCACGUCGUUUAUAGUUAAUUAUUUCGUCGUUGUUUAAUUACCUUGGUUUUAAACAUUUAUUACGUCUGAGAUUAUUUCAUUACGUCGUUUAAAAUCAUAUCAUACGUCGUAUUUUAUUAAUAACCGUCGUUUGUGUUCUUAAUCUUUUUCUGAAAUAUUUUCACUUGCAGUUUUGUCUGUAAAAAUGGUUUCUCACCAAGACCAAAGUAAGGAUUCUGGCUUCAAGAAAAAUGGAGGUAAGGAGCUUGGAAUGGUACCUCCUCAAGUGAAG
This 6108-nucleotide long non-coding RNA is filed under the name Prunus persica (peach). Its description in RNAcentral is "long non-coding RNA (PPER_LNC003277)". Lineage: Eukaryota; Viridiplantae; Streptophyta; Magnoliopsida; Rosales; Rosaceae. The record is from RNAcentral.